Molecule: ribosomal RNA, 374 nt
Filed under: uncultured organism
Description: partial 16S ribosomal RNA
Rfam family: Bacterial small subunit ribosomal RNA
Source: RNAcentral
GUAGGUGGCAAGCGUUGUCCGGAAUUAUUGGGCGUAAAGCGCGCGCAGGCGGUUCUUUAAGUCUGAUGUGAAAGCCCACGGCUCAACCGUGGAGGGUCAUUGGAAACUGGAGAACUUGAGUACAGAAGAGGAAAGCGGAAUUCCACGUGUAGCGGUGAAAUGCGUAGAGAUGUGGAGGAACACCAGUGGCGAAGGCGGCUUUCUGGUCUAUAACUGACGCUGAGGCGCGAAAGCGUGGGGAGCAAACAGGAUUAGAUACCCUGGUAGUCCACGCCGUAAACGAUGAGUGCUAAGUGUUAGGGGGGUUUUCCGCCCCCCUUAGUGCUGCAGCUAACGCAUUAAGCACUCCGCCUGGGAGUACGGCCGCAAGGCUG